GAUGAACGCUGGCGAGAUGCUUUACACAUGCAAGUCGUACGAGAGUUUUUAAUUCAAGUGGCGGACGGGUGAGUAACACGUAAGAAUUUGCCUUUAGGAGGGGGACAACAAUUGGAAACGAUUGCUAAUACCCCAUAUGCUUUCGAGUGAAAUGGAUUUUUCCGCCUAAAGAGAAGCUUGCGGCUGAUUAGCUUGUUGGUAAGGUAAUGGCUUACCAAGGCGACGAUCAGUAUCUGGUGUAGAGGACGAUCAGACACACUGGAACUGAGACACGGUCCAGACUCCUACGGGAGGCAGCAGUGGGGAAUUUUCCGUCAAUGGGCGAAAGCCUGACGGAGCAAUCUCGCGUGAGGGAUGACGGCCUAU
Molecule: ribosomal RNA, 366 nt
Filed under: uncultured bacterium
Lineage: Bacteria
Description: bacterial SSU rRNA
Rfam family: Bacterial small subunit ribosomal RNA
Source: RNAcentral